Molecule: precursor RNA, 617 nt
Filed under: Oryza sativa Indica Group (long-grained rice)
Lineage: Eukaryota; Viridiplantae; Streptophyta; Magnoliopsida; Poales; Poaceae
Description: putative precursor microRNA R167d
Rfam family: MIR167 microRNA precursor family (bases 150-264)
Source: RNAcentral
UUUAGUUCAGCAUAAAGUUUGGAUUUUGGUUGAAAUUAGAGAUGAUGUGACUGAAAAAUUGUGUGUGUAUGACAGGUUGAUGUGAUGGAAAAGGACUGAAGUUUGGAUCCAAACUUUGGAUCUAAACACAGCCUUGAUUGUUGAGGUGCAACCAUUAGGAGCUGAAGCUGCCAGCAUGAUCUGAUGAGUGCUUAUUAGGUGAGGGCAGAAUUGACUGCCAAAACAAAGAUCAGAUCAUGCUGUGCAGUUUCAUCUGCUUGUGGCUGCACAAAAUUAAAGGGCCAGAUUGUAUUCAUAUAUAUAUGUUGGUGUGAGGCUUACAUGCAAAUUUAUAUAUUCUUCUGUGUGCAGAUUUUAAUCUUGCAGGAUCGAUCAAAUCUUAGAUGUUUUGUUUGGGAGCUGAGCAUCCAUGAAUUAAUUGGAGAUCAAAUGAGCAAGAGUCAAGAACUGAGGAUGAAACAGGUAUGAAGAUCACAUGAGCUAGCAAGCCAAGAUCUGAAGAUGAACAGGUGUGAGAGACUAAUAAGGAGUUCUUUCUUUGCAUCAUCAACAUAUAUAAUGAAUGGUUAUUAUCUAAAAAUAUAUAUAUAUAAUGAAUAGUUAGUUUCUUCCAACUU